GCCUGUAGACCCAGCUACUCUGGAGGCUGAGGUGGGAGGACUGCUUGAGCCCAGGAGAUCUGAGCUAUAGUGAGCUAUGCUGAUUGGGUGUCUGCACUAAGUUCAGCAUCAAUAUGGUGACGUCCCAGGAGCGGGGCACCACCAGGUUGCCUAAGGAGGGGUGAACUGGUCAGAAACAGAACAGGUCAAAACUCCCUUGCUGAUCAGUAGUGGGAUCAUGCCUGUGAAUAGCCACUGUACUCCAGCCUGGGCAACAUAGUGGGCCCAUCUCUC
Callithrix jacchus (white-tufted-ear marmoset) is the source of this 273-nucleotide unclassified non-coding RNA. It matches the Rfam family "Metazoan signal recognition particle RNA". From Rfam's summary of the family: The signal recognition particle (SRP) is a universally conserved ribonucleoprotein. NCBI's taxonomy places the organism in Eukaryota, Metazoa, Chordata, Mammalia, Primates, Cebidae. The record is from Ensembl.